GUGUUAUCUUCAGCUGCACUUAUACUAAAAUUGAAGCAAUACAGGGAAGAUCAGCAUGACCCCCGCACAAGGAUGGCAUGAAAUUCAUGAAGCAUUCCGUAUUUUA
Rattus norvegicus (Norway rat) is the source of this 106-nucleotide small nuclear RNA. Lineage: Eukaryota; Metazoa; Chordata; Mammalia; Rodentia; Muridae. The record is from Ensembl.